RNAcentral lists this ribosomal RNA (459 nucleotides) under uncultured bacterium. Its description in RNAcentral is "partial 16S ribosomal RNA". It matches the Rfam family "Bacterial small subunit ribosomal RNA", at positions 338 to 795 of the family's 1533-position model. The record is from RNAcentral.
CCUACGGGAGGCAGCAGUGAGGAAUAUUGGUCAAUGGCCGGAAGGCUGAACCAGCUAUGCCGCGUGAAGGUCAGUGCCCUAUGGGCGUUAAACUUCUUUUGUGCGGGAGCAAUAAUGGUCACGUGUGGCCAGACGAGAGUACCGUACGCAUAAGCAUCAGCUAACUCCGUGCCAGCAGCCGCGGUAAUACGGGGGAUGCAAGCGUUAUCCGUAUUUAUGGGGUUUAAAGGGUGCGUAGGCGGCAGCACAAGUCUGGAGUGAAAUGCCGGGGCUUAACCCCGGAACUGCUGUGGAAACUGUGCAGCUAGAGGGCAGGAGAGGUAAGUGGAAUUCCUAGUGUAGCGGUGAAAUGCGUAGAUAUUAGGAGGAACACCAGUGGCGAAGGCGGCUUACUGGACUGUAACUGACGUUGAGGCUCGAAAGCGUGGGGAGCAAACAGGAUUAGAUACCCCGGUAGUC